CUCCUCUGAUGGGAAAGAGCCUGAUUUCUCUGCAGGCAGCAUUGGCGUCUUCCCCGCGAUCUAGCAGCGGGGCUGCACCCUGGAUUGUCUCCUCAUUAGGGUGGGGUGGAAAGAACCAGUAUGCAGCCUUCUCAGGAGAUCGUAACUUUCCAGGAAGUGUACGUGUGUU
Molecule: long non-coding RNA, 169 nt
Organism: Sphaerodactylus townsendi
Lineage: Eukaryota; Metazoa; Chordata; Lepidosauria; Squamata; Sphaerodactylidae
Exons: 3
Source: RefSeq, a predicted model, not a curated record